Molecule: ribosomal RNA, 253 nt
Filed under: uncultured bacterium
Lineage: Bacteria
Description: partial 16S ribosomal RNA
Rfam family: Bacterial small subunit ribosomal RNA
Source: RNAcentral
UACGUAGGUGGCAAGCGUUAUUCGGAAUUAUUGGGCGUAAAGGGCGCGUAGGCGGCUUUGCAAGUGGCGGGUGAAAUCCCUCGGCUUAACCGAGGAACUGCCUGCCAGACUGUGAGGCUUGAGACCGGGAGAGGUGAGUGGAAUUCCCGGUGUAGCGGUGAAAUGCGCAGAUAUCGGGAGGAACACCAAUGGCGAAGGCAGCUCGCUGGGACGGUACUGACGCUGAGGCGCGAAAGCGUGGGGAGCAAACAGG